This 253-nucleotide long non-coding RNA is filed under the name Mytilus galloprovincialis (Mediterranean mussel). Lineage: Eukaryota; Metazoa; Mollusca; Bivalvia; Mytilida; Mytilidae. The record is from RNAcentral.
GUAUGUGCCUGUCCCAAGUCAGGAGCCUGUAAUUCAGUGGUUGUCGUUUGUUUAUGUGUUACAUAUUUGUUUUUCAUUCAUUUUUUACAUAAAUAAGGCCGUUAGUUUUCUCGUUUGAAUUGUUUUACAUUGUCUUAUCGGGGCCUUUUAUAGCUAGCUGACUAUGCGGUAUGGGCUUUGCUCAUUGUUGAAGGCCGUACGGUGACCUGUAGUUGUUAAUGUCUGUGUCAUUUUGGUCUUUUGUGGAUAGUUG